Molecule: ribosomal RNA, 484 nt
Filed under: uncultured bacterium
Lineage: Bacteria
Description: partial 16S ribosomal RNA
Rfam family: Bacterial small subunit ribosomal RNA
Source: RNAcentral
AUUGAACGCUGGCGGCAUGCUUUACACAUGCAAGUCGAACGGCAGCGCGGGCUUCGGCCUGGCGGCGGGUGGCCAACGGGCGAGUAAUACAUCGGAACGUGGGCAUCUGCUGGGGAGAGGGGGACGACAGAGGGAUUAAUACGGCAUUAGACCAGAGGGUGAAAGGGGGGGAUCAUCGGACCUUGCGCCAUUGGACCGGCGGAUGGCCGAUUAGCUAGUUGGUGGGGUAAAGGCCUACCAAGGCGACGAUCUGUAGCUGGUCUGAGAGGACGACCAGCCACACUGGGACUGAGACACGGCCCAGACUCCUACGGGAGGCAGCAGUGGGGAAUUUUGGACAAUGGGCGAAAGCCUGAUCCAGCAAUGCCGCGUGUGUGAUGAAGGCCUUCGGGUUGUAAAGCACUUUUGGCGGGAACGAAAAGGACUGUGCCAAUACCACGGUUUGAUGACGGUACCCGAAGAAUAAGCACCGGCUAACUACGUG